GCAAACUUGGUCAUUUAGAGGAAGUAAAAGUCGUAACAAGGUUUCCGUAGGUGAACCUGCGGAAGGAUCAUUAUUGAAUAAACUUGGCGUGGUUGAGCUGACUCUCUCGGGAGUAUGUGCUCGCUCGUCAUCUUUAUCUUUCCACCUGUGCACUUUUUGUAGAUUUGGAUGUAACUUUCUGAGGCAACUCAGUUGGGAGGAAUGCUAUUUCGAUGGCUUUCCUUGUAUGUCCAAGUCUAUGUUUUCAUAUACUCCAAGUAUGUAACAGAAUGUAUCACUGGGCCUUGUGCCUAUAAACCUUAUACAACUUUCAGCAACGGAUCUCUUGGCUCUCGCAUCGAUGAAGAACGCAGC
This 354-nucleotide unclassified non-coding RNA is filed under the name uncultured fungus. Its description in RNAcentral is "partial contains small subunit ribosomal RNA, internal transcribed spacer 1, and 5.8S ribosomal RNA". The stretch from base 1 to 73 matches the Rfam family "Eukaryotic small subunit ribosomal RNA", at positions 1759 to 1831 of the family's 1831-position model. Lineage: Eukaryota; Fungi. The record is from RNAcentral.